AUACGUAGGGUGCAAGCGUUAAUCGGAAUUACUGGGCGUAAAGCGUGCGCAGGCGGUUUUGUAAGACAGAGGUGAAAUCCCCGGGCUCAACCUGGGAACUGCCAUUGUGACUGCAAGGCUGGAGUGCGGCAGAGGGGGAUGGAAUUCCACGUGUAGCAGUGAAAUGCGUAGAUAUGCGGAAGCACACCGAUGGCGAAGGCAAUCCCCGGGGCCAGCACUGACGCUCAUGCACGAAAGCGUGGGGAGCAAACAGGAUUAGAUACCCUGGUAGUCCACGCCCUAAACGAUGUCAACUGGUUGUUGGGGAUUUAUUUGCUCAGUAACGAAGCUAACGCGUGAAGUUGACCGCCUGGGGAGUACGGCCGCAAGGUUAAAACUCAAAUGAAUUGACGGGG
This 395-nucleotide ribosomal RNA is filed under the name uncultured bacterium. RNAcentral's name for it is "partial 16S ribosomal RNA". It matches the Rfam family "Bacterial small subunit ribosomal RNA", at positions 523 to 918 of the family's 1533-position model. The record is from RNAcentral.